Small nuclear RNA from Lagenorhynchus albirostris (white-beaked dolphin), 105 nucleotides. The record is from RefSeq and is a predicted model, not a curated record. Lineage: Eukaryota; Metazoa; Chordata; Mammalia; Artiodactyla; Delphinidae.
GUGCUUGCUUCAGCAGCACAUAUACUAAAAUUGGGAAUGAUACAGAGAUUUGCAUGGUCCCUGUGCAAGGAUGUCACACAAAUUCAUGAAGCGUUCCAUAUUUUA